This 252-nucleotide ribosomal RNA is filed under the name uncultured bacterium. RNAcentral describes it as "partial 16S ribosomal RNA". It matches the Rfam family "Bacterial small subunit ribosomal RNA", at positions 524 to 776 of the family's 1533-position model. The record is from RNAcentral.
UACGUAGGGGGCAAGCGUUGUCCGGAUUUAUUGGGCGUAAAGAGCGUGUAGGCGGCUUGGUAGGUCUCGCGUCAAAACCCGAGGCUCAACCUCAGUUCGCGUGGGAAACCACCUAGCUAGAGUCCGGAAGAGGAGAACGGAAUUCCCAGUGUAGCGGUGAAAUGCGCAGAUAUUGGGAAGAACACCAGUGGCGAAGGCGGUUCUCUGGGACGGUACUGACGCUGAGACGCGAAAGCGUGGGGAGCGAACAGG